Molecule: ribosomal RNA, 497 nt
Filed under: uncultured bacterium
Lineage: Bacteria
Description: partial 16S ribosomal RNA
Rfam family: Bacterial small subunit ribosomal RNA (bases 54-497)
Source: RNAcentral
GGGGGGGGGGGGGGGGGGGGCGGGGGGGCGGGGGGCGGGGGGAGGGGGGGGAGGCUGGCGGCGCGGGUGUUAGCGGGGGACGGGGGUGGAACGCUGGGGUCACCUCCCUAUGCGAGCGGGGGAGCGUCGGGAAGCGGGAGGUAAUACCGGAUAAUAUUUGGACGCCCAGGGGUCGAGAGUGAAAGACGGUCUUGGUGGCACGUAUGGGAGGAUCCGCUGCGCCGUAGCCCGUUGGUAAGGCAACCGCUUACCAAGGCAACGAUGCAUAGCCGACCUGGGAGGGGGAUCGGCCACCCGGGAACUGGGCCACGGUCCAGACUCCUACGGGAGGCCGCAGUAGGGAAUCUGCCGCAAUGGGCGAAAGCCUGACGGAGCAACGCCGCGUGAGUGAUGAAGGUCUUCGGAUCGUAAAACUCUGUUAUUAGGGAAGAACAUAUGUGUAAGUAACUGUGCACAUCUUGCCGGUACCUAAUCAGAAAGCCACGGCUAACUACGUG